UCAGGAUGAACGUUGGCAGUGUGCCUAAGACAUGCAAGUCGAACGAAGCACUUUAGUUUGAUUUCUUCGGAACGAAGACUUUAGUGACUGAGUGGCAAACGGGUGAGUAACACGUGGAUGACCUACCCUGAAGUGGGGGAUAACCUUGGGAAACCAGGACUAAUCCCGCAUGUGCUCUUUGAUUGUGAUCAAAGAAGAAAGAUUUAUCGCUUUGGGAUGGGUCCGCGGGCCAUCAGCUAGUUGGUGAGGUAAAAGCUCACCAAGGCAACGACGGCUAGCCGGCCUGAGAGGGUGAACGGCCACAGGUGUACUGAGACACGGACCCCACUCCUACGGGAGGCAGCAGUUAGGAAUCUUCCACAAUGGGCGCAAGCCUGAUGGAGCGACACUGCGUGAGGGAAGAAGGCUUUCGGGUUGUAAACCUCUAAAAGUAGGACGAUAAUGACGGUACUACUUGAGAAGCACCGGCUAACUCCGUGCCAGCAGCCGCGGUAAUACGGAGGGUGCAAACGUUAUCCGGAAUCACUGGGCGUAAAGGGCACGCAGGCGGUUAGUUAAGUCUGAUGUUAAAGCGUGGGGCUCAACCCCAUACAGGCGUUGGAUACUGGCUAACUAGACUUUUGGAGAGGUAAGUAGAAUUACCAGUGUAGCGGUGGAAUGCGUAGAUACUGGUAGGAAUACCAAUAGCGAAGGCAGCUUACUAGACAAUGAGUGACGCUGAGGUGCGAAAGUGUGGGGAGCAAACCGGAUUAGAUACCCGGGUAGUCCACACCCUAAACGAUGCAUACUUGGUGUUGGUGCGCAGGCAUCAGCGCCGGAGCAAACGCGUUAAGUAUGCCGCCUGGGAAGUACGGCCGCAAGGUUGAAACUCAAAGGACUUGACGGGGACCCGGACAAGCGGUGGAGCAUGUG
This 912-nucleotide ribosomal RNA is filed under the name uncultured organism. RNAcentral describes it as "bacterial SSU rRNA". It matches the Rfam family "Bacterial small subunit ribosomal RNA", at positions 24 to 943 of the family's 1533-position model. The record is from RNAcentral.